RNAcentral lists this ribosomal RNA (496 nucleotides) under uncultured bacterium. RNAcentral describes it as "partial 16S ribosomal RNA". It matches the Rfam family "Bacterial small subunit ribosomal RNA", at positions 28 to 506 of the family's 1533-position model. The record is from RNAcentral.
GACGAACGCUGGCGGCGUGCCUAAUACAUGCAAGUUGAGCGCUGAAGGUUGGUACUUGUACCGACUGGCUGAGCAGCGCACGGGUGAGUAACGCGUGGGGAAUCUGCCUUUGAGCGGGGGACAACAUUUGGAAACGAAUGCUAAUACCGCAUAAAAACUUUAAACACAAGUUUUAAGUUUGAAAGAUGCAAUUGCAUCACUCAAAGAUGAUCCCGCGUUGUAUUAGCUAGUUGGUGAGGUAAAGGCUCACCAAGGCGAUGAUACAUAGCCGACCUGAGAGGGUGAUCGGCCACAUUGGGACUGAGACACGGCCCAAACUCCUACGGGAGGCAGCAGUAGGGAAUCUUCGGCAAUGGACGAAAGUCUGACCGAGCAACGCCGCGUGAGUGAAGAAGGUGUUCGGAUCGUAAAACUCUGUUGGUAGAGAAGAACGUUGGUGAGAGUGGAAAGCUCAUCAAGUGACGGUAACGAACCAGAAAGGGACGGCUAACUACGU